AUUUUAUGGCCCUUUGGCUAGAUCAAGUGUAGUAUCUGUUCUUAUCAGUUUAAUAUCUGAUACAUCCUGUAUUUGAGGACUAUAUAUUAAAAAAAAGGUCAGAGAGAAUCCAAAGUUCAUGAAGCCCUUCAUACUCGGCAUCUAAGGGAUGAGGCAUUUCCUGACUGGCUAAACUUUGUUUAUGUCU
This is a small nuclear RNA of Heteronotia binoei (common prickly gecko), 187 nucleotides long. RefSeq annotates it as U2 spliceosomal RNA. Lineage: Eukaryota; Metazoa; Chordata; Lepidosauria; Squamata; Gekkonidae. The record is from RefSeq and is a predicted model, not a curated record. The transcript has a single exon.